GCGCCCUGCCUUUCAGGCAUCCUCUCCUAAAACUCAGUAGGCCGGUCGAAAGAUCGGCCUUUUUUUUUCGUCCGG
Molecule: small RNA, 75 nt
Filed under: Sphingobium vermicomposti
Lineage: Bacteria; Pseudomonadati; Pseudomonadota; Alphaproteobacteria; Sphingomonadales; Sphingobiaceae
Description: Sphingomonas sp. VC-230 Makes More Granules Regulator RNA (mmgR)
Rfam family: Makes More Granules Regulator RNA (mmgR)
About the family: SuhB later renamed mmgR (makes more granules regulator) was a putative non-coding RNA found multiple times in the Agrobacterium tumefaciens genome and related alpha-proteobacteria. Other non-coding RNAs uncovered in the same analysis include: speF, ybhL, metA, and serC. Several studies inSinorhizobium meliloti showed that suhB element is indeed a non-coding RNA:firstly it was detected on Northern blot and called Sm8RNA, secondly in an RNAseq study referred to as SmelC689.
Source: Rfam by way of RNAcentral